Molecule: long non-coding RNA, 445 nt
Organism: Equus caballus (horse)
Lineage: Eukaryota; Metazoa; Chordata; Mammalia; Perissodactyla; Equidae
Source: RefSeq, a predicted model, not a curated record
AUUCUCUGGUCAGAGUCUCAAAAGACCACAGUCAAUAUGCAGAGUGGGUUGGGUUCUCAUGGGGAGAUUUGACCAGGGAAGCAGAUUCUGCCCUGCCUGGGUGGUUGUUGGCAGCAUUCAGUCCCUCACCUCUUCAAAAUCCACAAGGAGAGAGAGAGAGGCUGGAUUUUCAUAAGUUAAAAGAAAAAAGAUAAAUCUAAGCAGAAUGUCACUGGUUACCUACCAGGCCAAAUCCUCACUGUCUCUGUGAACACCCAGCCUACGAUUCUCCUAGAAACUGUCCCGGGAGCAGAGAGAUGAAGCAGGGCCAUCUGUCAACUUGGAAAGGCUCUUACACCAGGCAGGCAGAGUCACUCAAUAAAAUGGAAGUAUCAUUAUUGGCAUUGUUGGGAAGGAUGAAAUAAGAGACAGCUUUGUUCGUGGAUUUAUUCCCAGAGAUUCAGGA